This 710-nucleotide ribosomal RNA is filed under the name uncultured bacterium. Its description in RNAcentral is "bacterial SSU rRNA". It matches the Rfam family "Bacterial small subunit ribosomal RNA", at positions 1 to 748 of the family's 1533-position model. The record is from RNAcentral.
CGGCCGCGGGANNUCGAUUAGAGUUUGAUUCUGGCUCAGAACGAACGCUGGCGGCAGGCUUAACACAUGCAAGUCGAACGCCCCGCAAGGGGAGUGGCAGACGGGUGAGUAACGCGUGGGAACGUGCCCUUCGCUUCGGAAUAGCCCCGGGAAACUGGGAGUAAUACCGGAUACGCCGUAUUGGGAAAGAUUUAUCGGCGAAGGAUCGGCCCGCGUUAGAUUAGCUAGUUGGCGGUGUAAUGGACCACCAAGGCUACGAUCUAUAGCUGGUCUGAGAGGAUGAUCAGCCACACUGGGACUGAGACACGGCCCAGACUCCUACGGGAGGCAGCAGUGGGGAAUCUUGGACAAUGGGCGCAAGCCUGAUCCAGCCAUGCCGCGUGAGUGAAGAAGGCCUUAGGGUUGUAAAACUCUUUCGCCGGUGAAGAUAAUGACGGUAACCGGAGAAGAAGCCCCGGCUAACUUCGUGCCAGCAGCCGCGGUAAUACGAAGGGGGCUAGCGUUGUUCGGAAUUACUGGGCGUAAAGCGCACGUAGGCGGGUUUGUAAGUAGAGGGUGAAAUCCCAGGGCUCAACCCUGGAACUGCCUUCUAGACUGCAAGCCUGGAGGUCAGGAGAGGCGAGUGGAAUACCGAGUGUAGAGGUGAAAUUCGUAGAUAUUCGGUGGAACACCAGUGGCGAAGGCGACUCGCUGGACUGAUACUGACGCUG